GACGAACGCUGGCGGCGUGCUUAACACAUGCAAGUCGAACGGAAAGGCCCUGCUUUUGUGGGGUGCUCGAGUGGCGAACGGGUGAGUAACACGUGAGUAACCUGCCCUUGACUUUGGGAUAACUUCAGGAAACUGGGGCUAAUACCGGAUAGGAGCUCCUGCUGCAUGGUGGGGGUUGGAAAGUUUCGGCGGUUGGGGAUGGACUCGCGGCUUAUCAGCUUGUUGGUGGGGUAGUGGCUUACCAAGGCUUUGACGGGUAGCCGGCCUGAGAGGGUGACCGGCCACCAUGGGACUGAGGGACGGACCAGACUCCUACGGGAGGCAGCAGUGGGGAAUAUUGCACAAUGGGCGGAAGCCUGAUGCAGCAACGCCGCGUGCGGGAUGACGGCCUUCGGGUUGUAAACCGCUUUCGCCUGUGACGAAGCGUGAGUGACGGUAAUGGGUAAAGAAGCACCGGCUAACUACGUG
Molecule: ribosomal RNA, 468 nt
Filed under: uncultured bacterium
Lineage: Bacteria
Description: partial 16S ribosomal RNA
Rfam family: Bacterial small subunit ribosomal RNA
Source: RNAcentral